RNAcentral lists this ribosomal RNA (477 nucleotides) under uncultured bacterium. RNAcentral's name for it is "partial 16S ribosomal RNA". It matches the Rfam family "Bacterial small subunit ribosomal RNA", at positions 28 to 507 of the family's 1533-position model. The record is from RNAcentral.
GAUGAACGCUGGCGGCGUGCCUAAUACAUGCAAGUCGAGCGAACAGACGAGGAGCUUGCUCCUCUGACGUUAGCGGCGGACGGGUGAGUAACACGUGGAUAACCUACCUAUAAGACUGGGAUAACUUCGGGAAACCGGAGCUAAUACCGGAUAAUAUAUUGAACCGCAUGGUUCAAUAGUGAAAGACGGUUUUGCUGUCACUUAUAGAUGGAUCCGCGCCGCAUUAGCUAGUUGGUAAGGUAACGGCUUACCAAGGCAACGAUGCGUAGCCGACCUGAGAGGGUGAACGGCCAGAGUGGGAAUGAGAUAGGGCCCAGACUGAGGCGGGAGAGAGCAGUGGGGAAUAUAGCACAAUGGGAGGAAGGCAGAUGAAGAAACGAAGGGUGCGGGAGGAGGGCCUGCGGGUUGUAAACAGAUUUCGCCUGGGACGAAGCGUGAGGGACGGGAAUGGGUAAAGAAGCACCGGCGGAUUACGUG